GACGAACGCUGGCGGCGUGCCUAAUACAUGCAAGUAGAACGCAGUGGCGAACGGGUGAGUAACGCGUAGGUAACUGCCUCAUAGCGGGGGAUAACUAUUGGAAACGAGAGCUAAUACCGCAUACUGUGAGAUGGACCUGCGUUGUAUUAGCUAGUUGGUGAGGGAAAGGCUCACCAAGGCGAAGAUACAUAGCCGGCCUGAGAGGGUGGACGGGCACACUGGGACUGGGGCACGGCCCCGACUUCUACCGGAGGCAGCAGUAGGGGAACUUUGGCAAUGGAGGGAAGUCUGACCGAGCCACUCCGCGGGGAUGAAGGAGGGUCUCGGAUCUUAAAGCUCUGUUGUUAGGGAAGCGGUACCUAACCAGAAAGCGACGGCUAACUACGUGCCAGCAGCCGCGGUAAUAC
RNAcentral lists this ribosomal RNA (407 nucleotides) under uncultured bacterium. Its description in RNAcentral is "partial 16S ribosomal RNA". It matches the Rfam family "Bacterial small subunit ribosomal RNA", at positions 28 to 526 of the family's 1533-position model. The record is from RNAcentral.